AUGAAACAUAGCUCCCCACGUGCAAAGAAGUCUUUUGGAGAUCCAUUUCCAAACCAACAUGGAAACACUCCUAACGCACUGACCAGAGUAUUCACGCCAAAGCCUCGACAGAAGAUCUUCAAGAAACCUCCUCCGAUCUUCAAAGGUUUGGCAUGCAGCUCAUCCUGGGGAAAUGUGCCCUUGGAAUCCAUGGCGGAAAGUUCUUUCUUUUCUUGGUAA
Molecule: ribosomal RNA, 219 nt
Filed under: Triticum aestivum (bread wheat)
Lineage: Eukaryota; Viridiplantae; Streptophyta; Magnoliopsida; Poales; Poaceae
Description: partial small subunit ribosomal RNA
Source: RNAcentral